CAGCCGCCGCGGUAAUACGUAGGUGGCAAGCGUUGUCCGGAAUUAUUGGGCGUAAAGCGCGCGCAGGCGGCCUAUCCAGUCUGUCUUAAAAGUUCGGGGCUCAACCCCGUGAUGGGAUGGAAACUAGUAGGCUAGAGUAUCGGAGAGGAAAGCGGAAUUCCUAGUGUAGCGGUGAAAUGCGUAGAUAUUAGGAAGAACACCAGUGGCGAAGGCGGCUUUCUGGACGAAAACUGACGCUGAGGCGCGAAAGCUAGGGGAGCGAACGGGAUUAGAUACCCCUGUAGUCCCUGUCUCUUAUACA
Molecule: ribosomal RNA, 301 nt
Filed under: uncultured bacterium
Lineage: Bacteria
Description: partial 16S ribosomal RNA
Rfam family: Bacterial small subunit ribosomal RNA
Source: RNAcentral